RNAcentral lists this ribosomal RNA (790 nucleotides) under Aphelenchoides besseyi. RNAcentral describes it as "eukaryotic LSU rRNA". It matches the Rfam family "Eukaryotic large subunit ribosomal RNA", at positions 341 to 964 of the family's 3401-position model. The record is from RNAcentral. Lineage: Eukaryota; Metazoa; Nematoda; Chromadorea; Rhabditida; Aphelenchoididae.
AUUACAAGUACCGUGAGGGAAAGUUGAAAAGCACUUUGAAAAGAGAGUGCAAGAGAACGUGAAACCGAUAUAAUGGAAGCGAAUGGAGCUGACGUAUCUUGUGCGUAUUCAAUCCCGCGACACUGCAAUCGCUUCGACGACAUUCCGCAAGGUUGUCUAGGAGUGUUGUUGUUGUGCUCGUUGGAUGCAUUUGCGUGCGGAGUGCGCCGAGUGGGUCGAUGUCGCUGCCGGAAGGGCGUAUAGAGGACUCGGGUUUUCGGACUCGAGAAUCCUGUGCGUUCGGAUAGCAGGUGAUGUUGGCUCGCUGUUGUGGAGUGCGGGUGAAUUCGCGAUGGGCGUCGGUUGUGAGUUGUGGUUGCGGAUGGCACAUGUGUCUUCCGUUUCCGCGGCCUACGAUCGGCGUUCGUUGCCCCGGCACUCGACUCGGUGUAUAGUCGGUCACCCAUUCGACCCGUCUUGAAACACGGACCAAGGAGUUUAAGGUGUACGCGAGUCAUUGAGCUGCGAAACUCAAAGGCGUAAUGAAAGUGAGACAUUGGAUGUCGACGAUGUGAGCGUUGGGCGUUUCGACGUCCGGCGCGCAACAUCGCCCCGUGACUAGGACUUGUUCUGUUGCGGAGGUUGAGCGUACGCUUUGAGACCCGAAAGAUGGUGAACUAUGCCCGAACAGGAUGAAGCCAGAGGAAACUCUGGUGGAAGUCCGAAGCGGUUCUGACGUGCAAAUCGAUCGUCUGAUUUGGGUAUAGGGGCGCAAGACUAAUCGAACCAUCUAGUAGCUGGUUCCUUCCGA